This 40781-nucleotide long non-coding RNA is filed under the name Coffea arabica (coffee). RNAcentral's name for it is "long non-coding RNA (CARA_LNC006515)". The record is from RNAcentral. Lineage: Eukaryota; Viridiplantae; Streptophyta; Magnoliopsida; Gentianales; Rubiaceae.
UAAUAUGUUCAUCGCCGUAUACUUGGAAAUGGGAUCUUACUGGGUAAUCAUCAUCAAUAGAGAAGCCAGCAUCAUAAUGGGCCUUAAAAGUCUCCAGGUAUAAAAUUUCAAAAGAACCUUCCUCCUCAACUAUGCACUUUACUUCUUCUGCUGAAGGUGUAAAGAAUGGAAGAUUGAAACUAGCCAAUUUUUCUUCCUCCAGAUGUCCCUGCAGAUAUGCCAAUCAUCAAUUCAAUUCAAAUUAUUUGAAGCGCGAGACUUGGAAAUUAGCCAAUUUGCUAAAACAUCAACUCUAGGAAAAAAAAGGUACAGUUUUUUUCCUUAAUUUCAAAAUGAAUAUAUUAUUAUUACUUGUGCUUUUAGUUCAUAUUAUGAUUUUUUCCAAUACCUUUUUAACCAAAAAGGGGGGAAAAAGAUAGCCGACAAAUUAAAUCCCCCUAUAUUUCUAACUUGAAAGAAUUAUCUUAACUGUAUUGGAGUUGUGUGACCUAACUUCUAAUUAAAGGCUACUACCAUCUGAUUUACGGUAAACUUGGUCUACACAAAGUUUAUUCUAUCAAGGUUAUAAAGAAUAAAAUUGCAUCCAUUUUGCAGCUAAGGUAGGAACCUUGAAUAAGCUAGCUAGCUAUCUAGUUUAUUUCAGAUAACAAGCAAUGAACAUCUGAUCAUCAAAGAGACAGAGAAAUGAUAACCUCAACAAUCAAGUCGUUUAUUGCCAUGUCAAGUAAGUCUAGGGGAUUCGGUUCGUCGUAUUCAUCUACUUUACAAAUGCAAGUAAGGAGCAUUCGGCCACGUGAAAACAACUCUUUCGAAUGAAUCCUUAGAAAUGUGGUAAAAUCUUUCGUAAAUUGAUCCAAAUAUGCCUUUUGGACGGGCGGACGACUUGCUUUGGAAGAGUAAAUACUCCCUUUGUUUGCACUAAUCCCCAAUUCAAUCACCAAACCGCUGGGAACCUGCACGUCUAGAACUGGUAACUUAUAUAGUUGGAUCAUUUUGUUAGUGUUGCAUGUGGGAAUAUAAAUCAUGAGCCACGACUUAAAUAAAAUAUGUUAUUAGUUUCUUCCUGUGGAUAUCUUUAGAAUUAUUAAAGAAAUUUCCAUGCAUAGUUACUAAUGUGUUGAAUGAAAAUCAUGAACUAUUUUUGCUACAAGAAAAAGUAAAAAGAUAAAGGGGAUUAACUCAAAGACCUGAGAUAACCAAUGAAAACUGUAACAAGAGUGUAUAAAAUGCAUGGACUCCUCGGGGAAGAGUCUGCCGUAGAAAGAGCCAGGCAUUGCGCUUAUUAGGCACGAUCCUAUUUUGCGUCCAUUUUCUUUCUCAAGUUUGCGGUAGAAGCUUGGCAGCAACUUGAAAACCGAAUUGAAAUCAUUUUGGAAAAGAUCAUUCAGAAAAAUCUGAAUGGUGGGACGUUCUAAUUCAUUCUUCUCUUCCUGGCCAACUUUGUCAAUACUUUGCACAAUGUCCCGAACUGUUAAAAGUGUGUUUGGUCCAGAAGCGCAUCCCAAAUCCGCAACUUUAAUGCAGUUGUUGAUGUUGGGCAAGUUGGCCCGCAACAAUUCUCGUAUGCAUUGUUCAAGGACAGGUUUCACCUUGGCAAGAGCCAGCUGUUACACAUACCAGUCCAAAAUACAAAUGUGAAGGGGGGAAAAAAGACAUACUAAGUUAGAGAUCGACGUAUCAUAGCAUGAUUUACCACUACUCUGUGUGUGUGUGUUAAAGAGAGAUAGAGAGACAGACAGACAUUGUAGGAUGAAUUCUUGGCGUAGCUUGUAUCGCCUUCACCUCCAUUCAUAUGCAGGACUGCUUGGAGCUCCAUUCAUAUGCAGGACAAUCGAAUUGCGACUGCUAAAGAAGGUGUCUGUUAAUGAUUAAUUGUGCAAAAUGUCGGGCUUAAAUAGCGAAAAUUUCAUAGAUGCGUAUGCGAACCAGCUACCUACGUGCGUAGAAAAGUCUGUCAAUUGGUCAGAAAGAAAGCGCACAGCCAAUGGGAACCAGACACGAAUGAUAAAAUCAGAAGUUGAGAUUUGGGGAUAAAAUAUCUUAUCUUAUAGGGUUAAAUGCAAAAAACCCCACAAACUAUAUACCCAAUUGCAGUUUACCCCCUAAACUAUAAUAAUAAACAUUUUGUCCCCUUGAAUGAUAUGUUUGGACAAAUCUACCCCUUUUAUUUUAAGCAUUGUUAUUUUUCUUUUUUCCCUAUCAUUUUCUUUUUAAAUUCUUCCUUUUUUUUCUUUAAACAUUGUUUAAAUAAGUAGACUAGAUUAGUCAAAAUUUGUUUAUUUCUUAAUUUCGUAUGUCAAUAUUUUAUAAAAAAAAAUCUAUGGAAUACAAGAUUUUUUUUCCAAAUGUUGGAGUCAAUGUCAUUUAAGAAAUUGAACUUUUCAAAUAUAUAAUAACAAAAUAGAGAAAUUGAUUAAUCAAUUAUUAGUAGUAUCAAUAACAAAAAAAAUGAACUACUAUUGUUGUUUAUUCUUAUUUUUUAUUUCACUACAAAUAACAAUUGCUAACUUUUCUUUUUUAUGUGACAUAUAAUAUGUUACUUUUAUUAUAAGUAGUUGAGUAACUGUGAACUCUUAAUUAGUUCAUGGGUACUUAAAUUGUUGAAUUACUAGAUUAAUACACUUUACAAUAUAAGCUACAUAUAUUUUGUAAUAACAAAGAGUUUAUGUCAAAUUAUUAAGAAUAAAUUUAACAAAUAAACAAAUUAAAAAAUAGUUUAAAAAAUAUUAAAAUUUUUUAUGUAAGUCUUUUCACAUCGGAGAAAGACGUUGGCUAGUUCCACGAGAGAAGGAGAAAAUAAAAGGAAAAAAUGAAAAAAGCUAAUAGAGAAAAGAAAAGAAAGGAUUUAAGACAGUAGGGGUAAUGUUGUCCAAACAUAUCAUUCAAGGGGACAAAUUGCCUAUUAUUAUAGUUUAGGGGGUAAACUGCAACUGGGUAUAUAGUUUGUGAGGGUUUUUUGUAUUUAACCCUAUCUUAUAUAGAAAAAGUCAAGACUUCUACUCUCAUAUUGAGCCACGUGGCCGCAUUUGGGAAGGGAGUCUACUGUAGUAUAUUGAUAAGUGUAUGUUUUGAGUGUUUUAAAUGUGUUUUAUUAAUUAGUUUUGGUGUAUUUUAAUUAAUUUUAUAGCUAAUUAACUAAGUUUCUAGUGAAAAUAUACAUUUUGUGGUUUAAGUAUCAAAAAUUGCAUUUCUAUAGAUUUUAAUAGUGAAAAUUUCAUAUUUUUGUAGGUUAAAUUAUUCAAUCAUCAAUUGGAGUGACUUGAGAAGAUAUUUGGAUGAUUUGAAAUGAUUUAAAGAAAACAUGAACUAUCAAAUGUUCAAAAGAGGAAAUUCAAUCAAGAAUAAAAGAAAGGGAGUUUUCCAACUUUGAUACCUUGUGGUCUUUCAGCUAUAUCUUGAGUUACAAGCAUUGAAUUGAGGUGAUUCUUAAACCAUUUUAACACUAAGAGAUAGCUGCAUAUUUGAUAGGGAUAAUUUCAUAUACCUCCCCUUAGGUUUCUGACAGUUUCACUCCCCUCCCCUGUGGUUUCAGAAAUACCACAAACCUCCCCUAAAACUAAAUAGGCAAUGUCAAAAUAGACCCAAUUUAAAAAUACAAACAAUAAAAAAUCAGUAGCUAGAGAGAGAAACAAGUGUAUGCCACAAACGCCCUCAUUAUCUUGCAUUAAUGAGCUAAUCUCAUGUGAAGAAAAAACAAGGAAUUUAAGAAGAAUAAAACUUGAGGGGGUGUAAGUGAGACCAAUGCAUUCAUUAAGGUUUGAACGUCAAUAGUGAACAAAAUGGAAGGCAACGGCUCUUUCUGGCAGUCAGUUCUAAUGUCCAUAUGCAACGCCCAAUUCAGAAGGCUAUUUAUAAGAGUAAGGGACUGCUUGUUUUACAGAUUGAAAUCGGAAAUGGAAAUGGAAUCAUAGACUCCGGUUUUGGAAUUAAACUUUUCAUUCCAAUAUCUAACUUGGUUCACAUAUUGGAAUUAGCAUCAUUCCAAUUCCUGAUACUUGGUUUGAUGAGUGUUUCGGAAUUAAAUGUAAUUAAAUUUCAAAUUUACCCCUGAUAUAACAAUUCUUCUAAAACAAAAGAAUUACACAUACGACAAAUUAACAUCUCCAUAAUUGUAACUACAAUAGUUAUUAACUUUUUGAUAAAACAUAAGAAAAUCAUAAACCAUAAAAAAAAUUAAUACCAAAAAAUAAAUAUAGUGGCUGCAUUAACAAGGAGUAAAUUCCCAAAACGAAGGAGUUUUUAAACUAACUUCUCAAAGGGUGAUGAUUUUUGAAUCUCUUUCCACAGGGUGAAAAAUACAUCCAAGGAAUGCAUUCUUCCAAAUAAAAACGCAACUUUCAAAUACAUUAUUUUAAUUUUCAUAAAUUUAUUUAAAUAUGAAAAAUUGGUUAAAUAGCGCAUAAUAUACCAACUUUUUAUGAGAAAUUGACAGGUUUUGUAGUAUGUUUUGUAUCAGCUCUUUAUGGGAGACAUGCUAGUUCUCUAUGGGAAAAAUUGGUUAAAUAGCGCUCAAAGGAAAACUAUUAUGCUUUGUAUUUAACAUAAAUUAAAUAUGUGAAAGUUAAAAAUAAAAAAAGAAAUUGCUCAUAACAUACCAGCUCUUUAUAGGAAACUGGCAGGUUUUAUAGUAUGUUUUGUACCAACUCUUUAUGGGAAACAUACCAGCUCUUUAUGGGAAAAAUUGGUUAAAUAGUGCCCAAAGGAAAACUAAUAUGUUUUGUAUUUAACAUAAAUUAAAUAUGUGAAAGUUAAAAAAAAAAAAAAGAAAUUGCCCAUAACAUACCAGCUCUUUAUGAGAAAUUGGCAGGUUUUGUAUUUAAUGAACUAUUUAAUCAAUUUUUCAUAUUUAAACAAACUUACGAAAAUUAAAAUAACGUAUUUGAAAAUUGCAUUCAUAUUUAAACAAAUUUACGAAGGCCCUUUUCUAUAUUGGUUGUUAGGACUCUAAUUUUUCGUUAAUUACAUUAAUUGUGUUUAUAACUAACUUAACUAAAUUUUUCCAGAUAAUCACGAAAUAUUAGCAAACUUGUGAGGGUAUUUAAGUCUUUGUGGCACCAAUGAUGUAAGAAAUGGAACCUCACAAUCUGACAAGGGAGGUUUGUGGUAUUUCUGAAACCACAGGGGAGGGGAGUGAAACUGUCAGAAACCUCAGGGGAGGUAUCUGAAAUUAUCCCUAUUUGAUAUGAAGACUUGAAAUCUAGUUUAGUCGUUUUCUUUGUCGAAAUACAGAAGUGCAUUUUUAUUGUCAAAAACUAAAACAGAGUUCUGACUAGUCGAGAAUAUUUUGGUUAUUUCUUGGUCCACAGAUCUCCAAAUUAGAUGAUUCUUGAAGCAUUGAAAAUGGGCUACAACUUUCAUGCUUUUUACAAGAGUUAGUUCAUCCUCCAUCAUCAAGAAAAUACCAGUUGACGUUGGACCAAAAACAGAGCAAAGAGAAGACUUGACCAGAAAUGAGCAAACUUCAAAAAGAGAAAAACGUGGGUAUAAUAUGCGACCUUAGGUCAUGUUUUCGAGGUCGCGUAAUCUUCAUUUGUGGCUGCAGUUUGCUCUGCAACUUUUGCUUUGUUCACACAAGCUUUUUGACUACUUUUUCAGCAAGAAUUUCGACUAGGUAUGAGCUAACAAGUAUGGAGACAUCAAGAAACAACCUUUUGAUGAUUCCAAAAGCCAACUAGCACCAACCUUAACAUGAUUACUUGGAGUUUUAAUCCUCUAUAAAUAGAGGCCUUUGGGAAACAUUUUCCCAACUUUAGAAAGGCUAGAGAAACUCCACAAAAAUGUAGUCUUCACUAGAAUUUCUUUAGUUCAUUAAUUAGAUUAGUAUAGUAUAGUUAGUGUAACUUAUCCUUCUUGUAUUUGUAACUAAACUUGGAUGAAGAUUAAGGAGCAAAAUGAAGAGUUUGAUCUCAUGUGACAAGGGUGAUAUCUCUUAUACUAUUUUUUCUCUUGUAUUUGAUUUCAUAUUUAGUUAUUAUACAAGUUUGGAUUUGUGUUUAAAUAUGUAUUUUUAAAGUUUAUACCUAGAGUUAUGGAUGAACUUGCUAUAUCUUAUUAGUGAUAUUUACUUGGUUAUUUGAUGAUAUUAUUUUGAGCAAAUUAUUUAUUAGUUUUACUUUUCUAAUCAUGAUUAACCAACCAUUAAUUAUGAUAAUAUUAACGUGUUAAAUUUGCAAUGAGAAUUGGGAUUAACAAUAGUUCAACGAAGUGAUAAACUUAGGGAAUACACUCACAAGAGUAGAGGUACACUUAUGUGGAUUUACUGACUUGUUUCAUGUAAUUUCAUAGAAGAAAUAAGUUUGUAAUUAAUUUCAUAACCAUGAGAGUAGGUAUGGUUUAAUUACAAGUAUAGUUGAUUCAUUACGAGAGUAGAUUUCAUAUACAUUAAGAAAUUAUGCCAUAACUAGCCAAGAUAAUAACAUUCACUUAAUCGAUAAUUUCAUUAGCGAGAGUAGUUAGGAAUUUCAUACCUCUAGAAGUUUUAUAUUUUUAUUUUUAUUACGUUUACUUCAUGUUUGUAGUGUAGCUUUAAUCUUUUGCAAUUUGUGGUAAUCUAAAUAAUAAAGGAGUUUGAAAGCUAUCGGUAAUUGACAAUUUUCUCUGUAGGUUUGACCCUUAAUACUCUAUGCUCAAUCACGCAUAGUAUACUUGUGAAAAAUGGCAUAUGGGGUAUUUUGAAUUUUAUAAAUAUGAAACUUGACUAUGGAUGACCUAAUUGUUAUAUACAUAUCCCGUGCCCGUCAAAUUUUUAAUGCCGUUGCCGGGGAAGAUUUUGCUCAAUAUUGGCGCUAAGAAUAACUUUAUUAAUUUAGACAUUUUUUCUUGGUUUUCUUGUUUUUAUUGUGUUUAUUGUCCUUUUGUUAUGUUUAGUGUCUUGUUGUAUCUUUUAUUUUAUGUUUAGUGUCAUGUUUUUGUAUGUGUCGAGUCAUCUAUUCUUCUUGACUAAACUUGUUUUUGAAUUACUUUGAAAGUAUGUUUAGGGUUUUAAGGAGAGUAGAAAACAUGAGGAGACAAUGCUUGAGAAGUGAAAGAUCGGCAAUGGAUUAUUAUCAAGUACAAAGCACCUUGAAUAGAGGUAACCAAGAUGUUACCGAAGGUAUAUCAUUCAAAAAUGGUUUAAAGAGUUUAAAGGCUAAACUUGAUAUUAUAAUAUUAAAAGUUCAAUUGGACACCAUUACAAACAUGCUUGAGCAAAAGAGGAAUGUUAAUACUUUUAAUUCUUAUCAUGUGAUUUGUAACUUGUGUGGAGAUUAUCAUGCUACUCAUACAUGUAGGCAAGCACACAAUGUGGAUUAUUAUGAUGAAUUUGGGUAUUACAAUCCUUAUUUUGAUCAAUAUGGUCAUAACUGGGGGAAUUCUUAUACUUAUGAUUGGGAUAAUCAAUGUAUUUAUAGUGAUUCUCAAUGUUAUCAUGAUUACCCACCCGAGCGUGUCCAAUAUGAAUCUAAACUAUUUUGGGAAUUAGCCAUAGAAAAGCUAGCUAAUGCAACCUCAGAUCGUUUUGAUAGGGUUGACCAAAGAUUUGAUGAAUUAACUUCUCAUUUUGGUAGAUUACAAGAUCAAUUACACGUUUUGUGUGAAGUUAUUUUUUCUAAUCAUGUGCAAGAUGACCCUAACAUGAAUGAUGGAAAUGUUGUAUGUCGAAAUGGAUUGCAUUUUGAUGGAAAUGAUGCAUUUAAUAUACGUUUCAAUGAGAAAUUGUCCAUUUCACAAAAUCAUAUCCUUGGAACUAACUUUAAAGCUCAAGAGAUGAGCAUCAAUGACUCAUUUUUCAUCUCUCUUGAGGAAUGUGUUGAAAACAUAGGUUCUAAAUAUAUCGUCACCCAAGAAAGGCAAGCAGAUGUUCCUUUGGUGAGCACUCAAGUGACGCACAUUCAAGGUAUUAUUUAUCCAUCGCUUGAGAUAUGUAAGCCUCUUCCACCUCUCAUACUAUUAGAACAUGUGGAUUUUGAUAUCAAGCCACCAUUUAUUGAUCCACCAUGUCUUCUAAUGAUGAAUUAUUCAUUGACAAAAUCUCGAAAAAUGAAAUUAUAUAGUCGAGCCAAAGACUAUAAACAAAAGCGCUAGUUGAGAGGUAACCCAAUAUUUUGAUGACUUAUGUUAAUUCAGUGUGAUUUUAUGUUUAAAUUAUGCAUUUAAUGUAUUGUUUUUCUUUUGUAGGUUUGGGAAAUAGAAGUAAAAGUGAUCAAAUGAGAUGAAAAAGGCGAAAUUUGAUUGAAAAACUCCACCCCUCGAUUUGAGUAUUUAAUGUUUUUGAUUCGUUAAAGAGAGGUAAAAUACAUAUUUUGAUCAUUUUACAUAGCGUGCGUUGAUUAUUUUAUCGAAAGAAUGAUCUAGUGUGCAUUUUAAGCAAUAGGGGUACCAUGUGUAAUUUUAAAAAAUUGAAUCUUCUGUAGAAAAAUUGCAGAAAAAAACGCAGCAUCAUGGAAAACGCGACCUUAGGUCACGUUUUCUUGAGGUCGCCUACUCUAUUCUACAAUUUUUCAACAGAAUACACGAGUACAGAAAACAUGACCUAAGGUCACGUUUUCAAAUGUAAGAUAGAAAACGCGAGCCUGAAAACACAAGCUCAAGCUCGCAUUUUCUACUCGCAUUUUUUAAGUUCUUUUAAGAAACAAAAAUGCAGGCUGCCUUAUUCUUCUUUUCUUCUUCUCCUCCUCACAUUUUCUCACACAUACUAACACACAAUUCACCAUUUUCCUCUUUUACUCAAUUUCCUUGUAAGAAAUCAUCAACAAAAUAUUAUUUGACCUUCAUAGAUCCUUUUUAACUAAUUAGAAUUCAGGAAAAAGAUCUCAAAAUUUGGUUGAAGGUUAGGGUUCAUAAUUUCUAAUUCCAUCAAUUGAAGGUCAAUUGGAGUGAUUUUCAUAGGACUUUUUGUAUCAUUUGUAUCACCAAACAUCACUCUACCAAUUUGAGAUAAAUUUCUUGAACUUAAUUUGGUAUUUUAAAAUUCACCAUUUGCAUAUCUUUUGAGUUUAUUGAAACACUUUGAAUGGCGAAUUUGUGAUGUUAUUUGUUGGUGUAUAUAAGUUCCAUUAUGCUUAUGUAACAUCUUUAAGCAUAUUUAGAUGAUCAAAUGUGGGAAUGUGAUGAUCUAUGCAAUGUUUCAAUUCAUGUAUAUUCCUAUUUUAUGAUCAAUGUAAUAAUUGGUCUUAGAAUAUUGUUAAGCAUAAUUGGAUAGUUCAAAUUGCUAAAAUGUGACUUAUUCAUGAUGCUUACAUGUCUACAUUCAUUACAUGGUGACAUUUUAGCAAAUUUGAAUUUGUAAACUUUAGAGAGUGGCUAGUUUAUCUAGUUAAAGGAAAAUGAUACAUUUAAAUGGAAAUUUAUUGCUUAAUUUUCAUAUAAAACAUCAUUGGAUGAAAAAUUUUGAAUAUGUGAAGAAUUUAGCAAUUUGUAGAAUUUUAGGAGUAAAAAAUGUGUGAAGUGAAGUGAAAUGUUUCAUUGUACCUUGAGUAGUUUCUUAUAUAUUUUAUAUGGGCACAUCACCACGACAAAGGCGUAGAAGUUACGGAUCGCCAUUUUGUGUUUAUUAAUACGUUUGUUAUCACUUUUGUUUCUCAUUUUUCAAUUCUUAGGUUUAAUUACUAAUGGUUAUCCAAUGGAACUAAUAAAGUUUUGGAAAUAAACGGACAAUGGUUUGUGACACUUCAUGACGCUUCAAUUAUAUCAAUAAGGGAGUAUUCCUUUUUUUUUAUUUCCCUUCUUACACAUUGAAAACAAUGUAUAUGUUAAGUGUUGGGGGGGAGGGAAUUGAGAUUAUAUGCAUCGUAUGUGAUUGAUUUGUUAGUUGCAAAUAUUGGACUUGUGCUUGAAAAUGUUAUCGGGUUUAAAAAUUUUUCAAAAUUGGGUUUGUUGGCAGGGAGUUUAGUCCAUUUAUAAGAUGAGACUCUCACAAAAUUUUUUCAAAAUCUUGUCUAAAAUUGUAAAAUUGUCCCAAAAGAUUUCAAAAUUUUUCAAUUUUAUCCAAGGGCAACAAGUUUCAUACCUUUAGUAAUUCAAAUUCCUUCUACUUUUAAGAUAAAUAUAUGUAACUUGACAACUUCUUUUCUCAUUUAACUUGAAAAUGACUAUUAUGUGAUUAUAAUUUGCGCAUUUAUAGGAAAGUAUCUUGAAAAAUGGAGAAAAUUAUGCCUAAAUUUUACAAAUUUGAUGAAAUUUCUUCUCUUUACUUAAUUUUACAUAGUUAAGUGAAAAUAUGGUCAAUAAGUAUAAUAUUCUUCUCAUGAUUAUUCUUUUGAGAGAAUGUUAUUAUUUUUGCUUUUGAAGAAAAAAAAGAGAGAAAAAAGGAAAAAAAAAGAAUAAAAGGAGAAUAAAAGUUGUUCUACUUUAAUGGUUCUUGUACUUAGUAAUCGGGAGUGUUUAUAUACAAAUAUUGAUUUUCGCGUAAAAGGGAACUAGAAUUAAGAGUAUGCAAGGCAACUUGAGGAUAUGAAGUGUUGAGUAACUGGCGAUUUUCAUCUAAAAAUGUCGAUUUUUGUGACAAAAGAUACUUUCACAACUUGAAUAAUAUUAGAUAUAUUAUAUGAAUAAAUCCUUUUUUGCAUCUGAAAAAGGUGAUGAUCAUGGGUUUAGAAAGCAUUUUUAUUCACCAUAUGACUCGCUUGUGAAAUUGGAAAAGGAUAAGAAAUUGACUUGAAUUAGUUACAAUUAUGGCAUAAUUAGCUCUCCUUUACUUGAUAUUAUGAGUACUUGAACUUGAUUGAAUGAUUGCAUUAUGGUUAUUUACCUUGUUUUGAGGAAAUGAAGUUGAACUGUGUACAUAUGUUUAAUUCCAAAGUUUUGGAUGAUUGUGGUUAGUAAUUCUUAAUUGCUUGAGAACAAGUAAUGGUUCAAGUAUGGGGGAGUUUGAUAAGUGUGUAUUUUGAGUGUUUUAAGUGUAUUUUAUUAACUAGUUUUGGUGUGUUUUAAUUAGUUUUAUAACUAAUUGACUAAGUUUCUAGUGAAAAUAUACAUUUUGUGGUUUAAGUAUCAAAAAUUACAUUUCUAUGAAUUUUAAUGGUAAAAACUUCAUAUUUUUCUAGGUUCAAUGAUUCAAUCAUCAAUUGAAGUGACUUGAAAAGAUAUUUGAAUGAUUGUUGAUGAUUUGAAGUGAUUUAAAGAAGAUAUGAAGUGCCAAAUGUUCAAAAGAGAAAAUGCAAUCAAGAAUAAAAGGAAGGGAGUUUUCUAACUUUGACACUUUGUGGUAUUUUGACUAUAUCUUGAGAUACAAGCAUUGGAUUGAGGUGAUUCUCAAACCAUUUUGAAGUUAAGACAUUUGUUGUGAAGACCUCAAAGUUCAGUUUAGUUGUUUUCCUUGUCAAAAUAUCGAAAUACAGAAGUGCAUUUUCAUUGUCAAAAGCUAAAAUAGAGUUCUGACCAGUCAAGGAUAUUUUGGUCAUUUCUCAGUCCACAGAGCUCCAAAUUGGAUGAUUCUUAAGGAAUUGGAAAGUUAAUGCAAAGGACUACAACUUCAUGCUUUGUAUAAGAGCUAGUUCAGCCUUCAUCAUUAAGAAAAUGUCAGUUGAAGUUGGACUAAAAACAAAGCAAAGAGAAGACUUGACCAGAAAUGAUAAAACCUGCAAAAGAGCAAAAUGUGGAUACAAUACGCAACCUUAGGUUGCAUUUUCGAGGUCGCAUAUUCUUCAUUUGCAGCUGAAACUUGCUCUACAACUUGUGCUUUAUUCACACAAGAUUUUUUACUACUUUUUUUGCAAGAAUUUCUGCUGGAUAGUGCUAAUAAGUAUGGAGACAUCAAGAAGCAAUCUUUUGAUGAUUUCAAGAGCCAACUAGCACCAACCUUAACUUGAUUACUUGGAGCUUUAAUCCUUUAUAAAUAGAGGCCUUUGGGGAACAUUUUCAGAACUUUAAGAAGACUAGAGAAACUUCACAAAAAUGUAGUUUUCAGUAGAAUUUUUUUAGUUCAUUAAUUAGAUUAGUAUAGUAUAAUUAGUGUAGCUUAUCCUUCUUGUAUUUGAUCUCAUAUGACAUGGGUGAUAUCUCUUCUACUACUUUCUCUUAUAUUUGAUUUCAUGUUUAGUUAUUAUACAAGUUUGGAUUUGAGUUUCAAUGAGUUUGUUUGGACAAGCCAAAUUUGGUUUGCAAAAUUUGUUUUCACAAAUCCCAAUCACCUUUUUAUCUUCCCAAUCACCUUUUUAUCUCACAUACAUCACAUCACAAAAAGUGCUACAGUAAAUAUCUCAAAUAAAUCAUCCAAAUAAACUCUUAUCCAAACAAACUCAUUAUGUGUUUCUAAAGUUUAUACCUAGAGUUAUGGAUGAACAUGUUAUAUCCUGUUAGUGAUAUUGACUUAGGUAUUUGAUGAUAUUAUUUUAAACAAGUUAUUUAUCGCUUUUACUUUUUUAAUCAUGAUUAAUCAACCAUUAAUUGUGAUAAUUUUAAGGUGUUAAGUUUGCAAUGAGAAUUGGGAUUUAACACUAGUUCAAAAAAAUGAUAAACCCAGCGAGUAUACUCAUGAGAAUAAAGGUGCACCUAUGUGGUUUUAGUGACUUAUUUCAUGUAAUUUCAUAGAAAAAAUGUACUUUAGUUGAUUUCAUAACCACGAGAGCAGGUAUGGUUUAAUUACAAGUAUAGUUGAUUUACUACGAAAGUAGAUUUCAUAUACAUUAAGAAAUUACGCCAUAACUAACCAAGAUUAUAGUAUUCAUUUAACCGAUAAUUCAUUAGCGAGAGUAGUUAGAAAUUUCAUACCUCUAGAAGCUUUAUAUUGUUAUUGUUAUUAUGUUUAUUUCAUGUUUGUAGUGCACAUUUAAUCUUUUACAUUUGUGGUAGUCUAAAUAAUAAAGGAGUUCGAAAGCUAUCAGUAAUUAAUAAUCUUCUCUGUGAGUUCAAAGAACGGAAGUCAGGAAUUUCAAUUUUUUGUAAUGGAGUCUGGUAGGAUACUUAGAAAAGUUAAGACUUGAAGGCGGAUUUCAAAAGUGGUUUAAAUGAUCUGAUAUUGCAUUGUUGCCCCAACCCUAUCAAAACUUGCACCAGUUUAUUAUCAAUUGAGGUUCUCUUCUUCUUUUUUUUUAUUUUCCCUUUUCCCCUUUUUUGGCCUUCUAGCAUUUCAUUCAUUUUUUGAAAUUUUUAAAAUUUGGGCCAGUUUAUUUUUAACUGAGGUUUUUUUUUUCAUUUCCUUUUGUUCCUCUAUCACUUUUCACCUCUUAAGGCUUUUCUUUCCUCUCUUUUCAACGCAAACUUACUCCAGUGUGGGGUUUGCGAUCCUUAGGGGUUGCCAAAUGAAAAUAAUUUAUUCUGAAGGUUCAAAAGGGAUAACUAGGGAUAGAAGGUUUGAUUGGAAAGGAAAAAGACCUGACUUUCAUUCCAUUCUCCGUAUUAACCCUGAAAGGAAACUUUCGUUUAUCAUAUUAAAUAUUUUUCACACAUAUCCGAAUUGAUCGGUUGAGGGAAAUCUUGUCCAUCCAUUUCUACAAGAACAAGUGCUCCACCAGGCAAUACCUUUUUGACAAUAAAAGAAUCUUGUCAAUUUGGGGCAAACUCUUCUUUUGGGCUCAUCUUGCACCGACAAAAGCUACUUCAAUGCUUUGUCUCCUUCUUCGGAUAGUUGCGGUUUGAUCUUCUUGUUUUAAGCACGGGCCAUUCUCUUUUGUUAACACUAAUCAUGACAAAUGGCAUUUAGCUGUUUCUUAUCAAGUGACUACUGACUUUUAUUUCUUUAAUCUUGAUCCCAAUUCGGCUUGAGUUUCUCUUUAUACCAUUUGGGCCUCUUUGAAAUAUUUUCAAAUGUCUCUUCGCUAUUCCUCUCAUUUUGAAAUCCAAAUUUACAUUCGUGAGAUUCGAGAUUGCUGUCAUCAAAUUUCGGAACAGUGAUAGUCAAAGGGUCAGAGGAUUUUAUUGUUGGCCAUCUGAAAAAAAUGCGUAAGUAACACAGUAUAUAUAAAACUAUACAGUUUAUUGAAUUUCAAAAUAAAGUUCAAACUUAAUAGCAUGUUACUUAUUAAACAAGACGUAUCUUCAAAAAUCACUUGAUUCAAAAUUAUUUACAAAAAUAUAGUUAAACAAAAGACACACACAUGAAUGAUUUUCAUAGAUUUUAACCAAAGACAAUUCCUCAAAUUUAUAAAAACGCCCUUCAAGAGGGAGGGAUCUCACUAGUUCAGGAUUUUCAAAUUACUUCAUUGGGGACAAAUGCCUCAAAGAUGUCCUUAUGUUCGGGACAGGGUUUUGUACUUAUGCUCGGUCCUUAUUCUCCCAUUUUCCUUAGCACUAUAUCUCCUGCUUCAAUCAUAUCCUGAAUUUUAUGUUUCAAUACCCAACAAUUAUUGACGGAAUGCCCAAGAGCUCCAGAAUGAUAAGUGCAGACGGCUUGAGGGUCAUAAUUAGGGGGAACACCCCUAGGAUAGAUCUUGGGAGGCAUAACAUCAAUUUUUCCGGCAGCUUUGAAUUGUUCGUUUAAUUGAUCAAUGGGUCAGCCCAGGUUGGUGAAGGUUCGAUAUGGGGUUGGGUUUCGAGUUUCACUGUUUAGAGGAUAAGUUUGGUUAUUUGGUUGAACAGGUCUUGGAUUAUAAGGAGAGGAGGUCGAGUUUGAAAAUUGGGUAUUGGGACGAGUAGUAUAAAUGGGUUUGCAUAAUUUGGCCGAGGUCGAGGGUGAUUGAUAGUAGUAUGGUAAAUAGGGCGUGGGUUUGGAUAAUAUGGGUAGGGUGAUGAAUAUGUGGGGUAUUGCUGAAAUCUAGGUUGGGAAGAAAAGCCUUAGUCCCAGACUAAUGCGGCUUCCCCAUCUUUCUUUUUGAACUGAGGCGUCUUGCUACUGCUUCUUGCAUUUUGCAAGGCUUCUAAUUGCGAUUUCAGAGCUGACACAUUAACAAUCUUUCCCGCUCUUACAAACUCAUCAUAUUCGUUCAAUUUGUUGACAAUUUCUGCAAACAAGCAUCUAGUCAUGCAAAAAUUUCCUCAAAAGAGGACAGGUCAUGAGUUUUGAUAAAUGUUUGAACAAUUUCAUCCUCGGUUAUAGGAGGUUCCACCUUGAUAGCCAAUUUCCUCCAUCGCUUCGCAUAAGUCUUGUGAUUCUCAGAUGGUUUCCUUUUAGUGCAUUUAAGCGUGGUUCUCGUUGGAGCAAGUUCACAAUUGUACUCGUAUUGUCUCACAAAAGCAGUUGACAAAUCCAACCAUGUUCUCAUUUCUUCAGGCUUUAAAUUGGAAUACCAAUCCAGGACAUCGCCUUCCAAGGUCUCCGGGAAUAAACGUAUUGGCAAAUUUUCAUCAUAUACUGGCUUUUCCAACUUAUUUGCAAAUAGUCUUAGAUGCGUUUUGGGGUUACCAGUUCCAUCAUACUUACUAAAUUUGGAUGUUUUAAAACCCAAAGGCAAUUGCAUGUCCGGAAAAAGACACAACUCAUCAUAAUCCAAAACUCCAGGCUUGCUCAAUCCUUGAAUUUUUCUUAUGAAUUCAUCAAAUUUAUUUAACCUUUUCAACAGAUUUUUGUCUAUUGGGGGUGGAGGAUUCACCCUUUUUCACCUUUCCUUGCAUAGCAGCAUCCAGCAUGAAUGGCUCAGUGGUGGUGUGAUGAACUAUUUGAGAGUUUGGGUAAUUCUGAAACAUUUGAAUGCUGGCCAGGUUGACUUGGAUGUUAUGAGGGUAAUUAUAUGGAAAACUGGAAGCAGGGUAGGUGAAAGUCUUUUCGGGUAUAUUUGCAAAGGAUGGUGCAAAGGUAACUUGGGUAUGAGAUAAAGGAGAUGGUUGGUGUUCUAUUUCAGGUUGACUAAUAGGCAUGGGAUCAUGUUGGAUAUCGCCACUGCUAGCAACCAGUUGGUCAAUCAUGCGCCUUUGGGUUGACAUUUCCACGCUCAAUUCAUUGAAUUUGUUUAACAUCUCACUCAGUUGAACUCCCAAAUUUGCAGUGUCUGCUGGAGGUGUCGUGGUGGACCGGUCAGAUGAUUUCGGAUGUGCACUCAUGUUUACACGGUUUCUCAAAACUCGACUGCGAGAUCGUGUGACGAUGGGGUUUCUUCUUAUAGUUAUGUUUACAAUUACCUGAAAAUUUAGGAAAACCCUAUUUAGAUUCCCUUCUUGAUUAACUGCUGUCAAAAGAAAGAAAAAGAAAAAGACACGAGUUAGUACAAAUUAAAGUAAUUCGAAUGCACGUUCUAUUGGGGGAGCCCUUUUUGUGCCAAGGGUAGCCCUAACAUGAGAAUGCAAUCCUUUAGGGUAGGCACGUACAAUACCUGAUGAAUCCGAUCAACUUAUUGAUAUUCAAGUGAAAACCAAUUUGAAAGAAUUUGACCAAUUGGAGUGAGAAAACACAUAUGUCCUAACAAAAUGAGAACAAAGUCCGAAUGGAUUGAUUACUUUGAUUAAUACUUAAAGUGAUGUGUGAAAGAGCCUACUCUUGAAAGGAUUGCAAUGCCUUGACUAGUUUAUUUAGUGAACCUUAGAUCGAAACCCUAAAAGAGAAUAAACGGGUCAAAUAGAUCGGAUGAAAUUGAUGAACUUUGCUGGAUCGCCCUAAAAAUGGGUAAACUGGUCAAAUGGAUUAAAUGAAAUUGAUGAUUUAUUCAAAAUUCACUGGAUCACCCUAAAAAUGGGUAAACUGGUCAAAUGAAAUUGAUGAUUUAUUCAAAAUUGAUUGGAUCACCUUAAAAAAUGGGUAAACUAGUCAAAUGAAAUUGAUGAUUUAUUCAAAAUUGACUAGAUCACCCUAAAAAUGGAUAAAUUGGUCAAAUAAAAUUGAUGAUUUAUUCAAAAUUGACUGGAUCACCCUAAAAAAUGGGUAAACUGAUCAAAUGAAAUUGAUGAUUUGUUCAAAAUUGACUGGAUCACCCUAAAAAAUGGGUAAACUGGUCAAAUGAAAUUGAAGAUUUAUUCAAAAUUGAUUAGAUUGUCCUAAAAAUGAAUGAAUGGAUUGAGUUAAUGAUUUAUUAAAAAAUGACUAAAACUUGUUCUAAAAGUGAAUUGAUCUAAUGAUUUUGUGCUAGUGCCUCUUUCUUCUUUUUUUUUCAGUUGGCCAAAACCUACUUGGCUCGCGACUUUCCUUUUUUUUUUUUUGAGUUGCUGAAGCUUUCAGCAAUGGCAUACAAUAGUAGCGGCUCUCCCCCUCCCCUUCUUUUUUUAUAACUUUUCAACAUAUUUGGGUAAACCCUAUUCAUCCCAUAAUUAAAAUUUAAUACUCUAAUCCUACUAAUCCAGAUAUGAAUCCUCCUAAAUCUCUCAUACAAGCAUAUAUAUAUAUAACAUAAUACAUAGCCGUAAAAUCUUUAGAAUAAUUAAUGCGACUAAUUGAACUUAAAAGAGAAGUUUUCACGUGAAUUUGGGACUUACAGGUUUAGGUGCCUAGUUGCCCAAUUGAUUGAUAGCGACGUCAUCUUCUCCUUCUCUACUUUCUGACGGCUCUUGCUCUAAGGGGAGGCAGACAAUGAAAGGUAGGAAUGAUGUUUUUUUUCUUUGUUAUUUUGAUAAGUGCGCUAAACCCUAAUAACCACCCACUAGUAGAUGGGUUAGAUAAGAGUUUAAAUGUUAUGAACUUUUACUCUAUUUUAUCUCAUUUCUAUCCUCCAAUUAACCCUUUAAUCUAUCCUACACUUACUUUUACUUUUACUCAUAGUAAAUUACCAUUUAGUUAAUUGGGCAAGAAUUAAAAAAAAAUGAGCCAAAACCGUGGGUUUUACAUUCUACCCCCCUUACAAAAAGUUUCGUUCUCGAAACUUACGUACAUUGAUAAAAAAGAUAGGAAUAUCUAUUUUGCAUGUCUUCUUCUAACUCUCACGUUGCCUUUCGCAGUGUAUGGUUCAACCAUUGUACCUUCACGUAGGGUAUGGUCCUUCUUCUUAGAACUUGAUCCUUCCGAUCCACGAUUCUUAAAGGGACUUCCUCCACUGACAAGUUCUCCCUCACCUCGAUGGGUUAAUUCUCGGGUCUGACACAUACUUUCUUAGUUGGGAGACAUUAAAAUCGUUAUGUAUCCUGAACAGAACAAAUGGAAGAGCCAGUCGAUACGCUAAAGGUCCAACUCUCUCCAGUAUUUCGUAAGGUCCUAUAUACCUUGGACUUAACUUGCCACUUUUUCCAAACCUCAACACUCCUUUGGUGGGGAAUACUUUCAAAUAUACCUUUUCUCUCGAUUGAAAUUCUAAAGGCCUUCUCUGUAAAUUCGCCCAAUUUCUUGUUUCGGUCCUGAGUUACUUUUAGUCUCUCUCAAAUAACUUUAAUCUUCUCCAAGAUUCUUUCCACCAAAUUGGGUCCGAUGAUCAACUUCUGAUAGGUCAUAAUUUGUUGCUAAAUUUAUAAUUAUUUUCCCUUUGAUUUUUAGCCAAAUAUUAUUUUAAUUGUCGAAUUCUACUUAUAUUUGGUGUUUUAUAUUAUUUGCAGGGCAUUGGAGUAAAAAGUGCUAAAGAGAGGUAAUUUUCUUAGAGUUGAUUGUCAAGCGUAAGUGUUCCAAUUCAAGAUGGAGUCUAUGUGGAGCAUUGGUUGAAGAUCAGGAAACUGCCACCUUUUAUUAGAUAUUUUAUUAGGGAAUAAUUAGCAUUAUUUUUUAGAAGGUUUCCCUUUUUCAAUUAGAAUUGGAGUUUUAAUUCUUUUGCGGGCCUUUAGUUAGUGGAGGCCAAGAUAUUAGUACUUGAUAGGAAACAAAGCAAAUAAGAGGAGAAAAAGCCGGAUCCCGCAGGAUGAGGACUCAGCUAGGUAUCUCACAUGAUUACUACUUGGCCAGGGAAUAAGAAAAGAGAAGAAGGCAACCGCUUGGCUCUCUGCUCCGCAGAGUAGUUCUUUUACUAUCGAACAUUGACGCAAUUUCGUGGAGGGGACUUGCGUGAGUUACUCUCAAUGGAGAGUAACUAAUCUUGUUUUCUAGUCAAUGGACAAUUGAAGAUUUGGUUCAACAAUAACUGUGAGAUCUAAAUUAUUUUAAUUGUUUCCUUCAUUUAUUGGUAUUUGUAUACUUUCUGCUUUUAAUUGUUGUUAUAACUAUCGUGUAUAAUUGAAUAAAUGCGCAAUAUUUAAUUAUUCACGUAGGCUAUUUGCUAAUUGAGGGUAGUUGAAUCCGUAAUUGUUCGAUUACCUCUGUCCUAGUAGCAACUGGCAUAAUUGGAUUUAUGUCAGGGAAACAUACGAUCUAAUUUAAAUAAACCGUCGUAGCGUGUUUAUUAGUUAGGAUUGGGCCUUUCUAAACCUUAAUGCAAUCUAGAAAUUAAAUCCUACGGUCAUACCUAGGGUUGUUUCUUGGUUAGAAAAAUAGUUAAAGGUCGUACCUUAACUAUCGAGAAAUUAAGAAAAGGCUGGUUGUUUAUCGCGUGUAUGACAACUAUAACCGAUCUAUUGAUAACUGUUGGAAUUAUAUUUGCAUCGAUGAUCAGUUGCAUGAACCAUUUCUGAAAUGUAUCCUUGGCUAGAGUCUCUGCAGUUAUUUCUGUCAAUUAAUUAUUUUUUGCAUUUAAUUUAUUUAGUUAGCAUUUAAUCCAAAAAUCCUCCAUGCUCUGAACUCUAGAAGAAAUGAAUUAUCCCCAAUCCCUGUGGAUUCGACCCUACUCACCGCUAUAUACAAAAUUUGUAUUUUUCUCGAGUAGGUAUUUAUUAUUGCACAGGCUCGACACCUGUCAAUUUUUAGUGCUGUUGCCGAGGACUGGUGCCUGAUUAAUUUGUUUCUUUUUGAGUUAAUCUUGUUUUCAAUUUUUUUUAUUUUUCUCUUAUUUUUUUUAUAUAUAAUUUAUGGCUGCUAACAUUCCGUAUUUUGGUGAUAGACUGAAUUUUAUUUCUAGAAGGGGUUAUGAGGCUUAUGCUUUUUCUAAUAAUCAAUGGACUGCUACAAAUUGUGAAAUUUAUUUUUUCUCAAAUCAUUCAAUCGACAUAUACCAUACAUUUCAAGAUGGUCUAAGUGUUCCAAUUGAUACUUUUGGAGAUUUUUUACCUCAAUAUCAAACGUGGUAUGACCCUUAUUCAAAUGGGUAUGAGCAAGGGUGGUGGGAUGAUUCCAAUUUUAAUUAUGAACAAAGGCCAAUAGAUUUUCAACAGUUAGAGUCUCAAGAACUGUCAUCCAUGUCAGGUAUGUCUCUUAAAGAAAUAGUUGAAUUAAUAGCUACUAACACAUAUCAAAUUCAACAGGAGACACAUCAAAUUCAACAGGAGACAAUGGAUUUUCAUCAGGAGACAAUGAUUUUUCAUCAGGAGACACAAGCGAGCAUGCGUAACCUGGCAGAUCAAGUUAAUCAAUUGACAUAUAGGAUAACACAAUUGACUUCUCAAAUGUGUGAAGAAUUGCCCUCACAGACUAUUAUAGAUCAUGAGGAAGAUGAGAGUGCAAUUAUCCUGACAAAUGACAUGGAGCUGCAAGAAUCUCAAGAAGAAGAAUCUAAAGAUGCAGUUGAAAAUGGCAUUGAAGUGCAAGAAAUGAGACCUCAAUAUCAAAUUGUUCAAAUGAAUGAAUCCAGUGAACAAUCUCCAAAUGCGGUGACAUCUCCUCCAUUUCUUAAUCAAUAUCCUCAUGACUCUUGUUCUUUAAUUCCUGUUAGUGAGAUUGAGUUUAUUAUACCAGACGAUUUUGAGUUUCAUGAUAGGAAUAAGUUAAGAGUUACAAUGACAGAAUAUUUCGAACCAAUAAGUGCUCGUGAUGGAGGAGUGAGUGAAGAUUUAAGGUCAUCACUUGUUUGUUUGGCGCCAUCUACUAAUCCAUGGAAGACCGUAUCUCGUGUGUUUAAAAAUUACUCUAUUUACGAGAGAUAUCAGGACUACAUAGAAGAUGAAGCGCUGAAACGAGUUACACGAUUUUAUCCUCCGUGAAUAAACAGGGCAAUGUCUAACCAAAGACAUUAAAGAAAGGCGCUGCUUGGGAGGCAACCCAAGGCCUUUGUUUUAGUUUCCUUAUAUUUUUGGAGUUUUUGUUAAGUGUUAGUUGCAUUUAGUGAUUUGUUUCUUUUGUGGCAGGAAGCUGGUAGUUGGGCGUGCCCGCGUCUAGUAAGCACACCUAAGGAAUGCAAGUAUUUUUUUGCGGUCAGAAGACUACUUAGUAGUUAGACGUGCCCACGCUUAAGGGAGGCAAUUUUCAUUUGCGGUCAGAAGACUCUAUAGUAGUUAGGCGUGCCCACGCCAAGUGGUCACGUGUAAGGAACUUAAUUUCUGAAAAUUGGUCAGAAGACUCUCUAAUAAUUAGGCGUGCCCACGCCAAGUGGUCACGUCUAAGGAACUUAAUUUCUGAAAAUUGGUCAGAAGACUCUCUAAUAAUUAGGCGUGCCCACGCCAGGUGGUCACGCUUAAGGAUCUUAAUUUCGGACGGUUGGUCAGAAGAUUCGAAGGCAGUUAGGCGUGCCCACACCUAACACAGGGGUUCCUUUAUUCAAAAAAAAGUCCCUCACUGCCUGUUCUCAUCUUUGUUCAAACAAAGGAUAAAAGGAAGAACCGACCAAUUUCACCUAUGUUAUAGCUGCUCGAGAUCCUCCAUUACGUGCUCAGGGAAGUUUCGUUGUCCCUUUUGUUUCGUAUUAUAUUCUUUAUCUCUUACAUUGGGGAUAAUGUAAGAUUUAGGUGUGGGGAGAGUAGUAUAUUGGUAUUUUAUUGAAAAAAUGCAAGUGUAGGCAUUUUUGUUGGAUUUUUUUUAUUCGACUUUGUCGAAUUUUAUCCAAUUUUUGCCUAUUUUUGUGCAUAUUUGUGAUUAUUAUUGAUAAACGAUGGUUAGAUGUCUCAAAUUUUUCUAUUGCUAAAAUUUUACACUCUAGGGUAUUGAGUAUGAUAUGGUUAAGUUUAAGGGUAUCUCUUUAGUGAAUAGUUAAGAUUUUGUGACUUUUGCACUUUUUGAUUAACUUCUCUAAGUAUUGUAAAUAUUUGUCUAGCAUUUUUUUAUGUAAAUUGGUUCAACUAUUAAUCUUGGUUCUCCAUGAUUAAGAAAUGAAGCGGGCUUGUGUGAUCUUUAAUUUUAUUUUUGAUGUUUAUUUGAAUCAUAUUUGGCUAUACUCCGCUAGUAUUGUUGCCUAGUAACCGGAGAUUUUCACCACAAGUGUUGACUUUCGCGUCAAAAAGUGACGAUAACUAUGAGUAUGUGGUCCCUUAGCGAUGAUGGCUGAAUAACCGGGCUCCUUCAUUUGGCCAAUGUCGGAGUUCGCGUCAAAACGCUUAAAUGACUAAAGACUAAGCAUUCCCCAUGAAGAAAAAAAUCAAUCAAGUUUGGGGAUAUUUUAGAAAAAAAGUGCUAAUAGUGAAAAAUGUGAAUGAAUUGUUAGCCCGCUGAUCCAUGAAGUUUAAUGUUGAGAUUUUGCUUAAUAGUCGAACCAUUUACUUAUGGAUGCUGGUUGAAUAUUUUAUAUUUUUAGAUUAGUUGGUCAUAAAUUGAAAGAGUCAUUGAUCUUGAAAACUAAUUGGAGAGAUAUUUCUUGCAAAUUGCCCCUAAUACUUGACAUGUGUUUAAUUGUAUAUUGGCAACAGAAGAUUUGGGUAAUACCAUUGUUUGAAUUUGAUCACUUGAUUUGUGUUCUCAUGCUUGAGGACAAGCAUGGUUUAGGUGUGGGAGAAAUUGAUAGGUCAUAACUCUCUCUCAAAUAACUUUAAUCUUCUCCAAGAUUCUUUCCACCAAAUUGGGUCCGGUGAUCAACUUCUUACCUAUUUCAUCCCAAUAUAAGGGAGAUCUACAUUUUUGCCCAUAUAACAUUUCAACGAUGCCAUACCUAUUCCUCUAUGAUAGCUAUUGUUAUACGAGAAUUAUAUUAGUUUUACCAACCUAUCCCAACUAUCUGAAAAGUCUAGAGCACAAGCUCUCAGCAUGUCCUCCAGUGUCUGUAUGGUCCUUUCUAACUGUCUGUCCAUUUGGGGGUGAAGGGCGGUAUUUAGUCUUAGAUCAAUCCCCAUAACCUCUUGGUAGGUCAACCAAAAUCUAGACAUGAAUCUAGGAUCCCAAUCUAGCACUACUUUCACAAUUCAUUUUUAGACUAGAUAUCACAUUCUCUCCCCCUAAAAAGGUUUCAUCCUCGAAACCUAAAAGAUAUAAACAUCAAAAUAAGUUAACAAAAUUCCCAAUAUUCUUGCAAUACAUCUUAGGAAUUAUUCCUACAAUGUCUAAAUUGGAUUUUCUUAUUUAAUUCCAUCAAACUUCUGCUGCACACUCUCAUUUUUCUCAAUACCUCUCAUCUUCAUAUUUAUAGAGAUCAGAUGAACAGAAUAUCUCUCACAAAUCCAACAUUCUAAAUAUUAGCUUAUAAUGCUACAUAGAGAUCAACCUAUAGAAAGGAUGCCAAAAACACUAACAUUACCAUUUCUUCUUUUGUCAUACAUUUUUUCACAACUUACUUAUCCACUAUUGCAAAAAGUAAUCAUUAUCUCGAUAUAUGGGUUCCUGCCUAUUGUAAUUGGUAAUGAAAAUCUCUUAUUUCCUUCAAAUCCCAUAUCUAUCUAAUUUCAAAUUUCAAAAAAAAAAAUCAAUAAUACCUCAAAUAGCAUCACACCUAUUUUCAAAUCCUAUAACCUGAGUUGUUAUAUCACUAAAUGCCAUGGAAAUCUUAUUUCAUUUGAUCAUCAUUUUUUUUUAUCUCAAUUCAAUUUCCAAAACAAUAUUCAUAUUACGGUAGAACAUACCAAAACACACAAAAUUUUAUACAAAAAUUAUCGCCAAAUUCUCAUAUUUGAAUAUAAUAACUUCAUCAUAACUUUGGUAAAGUAUUUAUCUAUGCGUAGAAUUUCGAACUCAUACAAGUUUAGAAACCUGAAAGUGUUUGAAACACAUAAGUUAGUUAAUUGUACUUCUUAUACCAUUAGAACUUAGAGUACGAAGAGAAUUUAUUAAAAAUUAUUGUUAGAUUCUUUCUACAUGAUAUGAUUUUUUUUUUAUGUAGAACACGUUUAUCUAUAGCUCGUUUUGAGAUUGGAUGAGUAUCAUAAAGACAUUUUGUACAGGGUUCUGGGAUACAAUUAUUUAUGGUGAUUAUUCACCUUUAUUGUUAAUUUAUGUAUCUUUGUGUAUACAUAUUUAUAGAAAUUAUACUUAUUUGAUAAAGAUACUUAUUCAAAAAUCUUGAUUAACAUUUGUUCGUGAAAUAAUUUUUUUUUAAGACAAGAACUAUGUAAGAUUAUGUAUUCUAAGAAAUUUCUAACAUAUUUAUUGACCAAGCACAGUGUAAUAAUGCCAAUAAACUAAUUCAAUAAUUAUCUGGGGCAUGAGAUCUAAUCGUUGUAAAUCUCAAAAAGAGACAAGUCUAUUCACUCUUGGCCAUAUCUCCCACCGAAUGAGUACUAUUGCUAGACUUAUCAAUUUGUAUGGGAUAAGGCCAUACACCUGUUAGUUGUCACCAGUAGUGGUAAUAAUUCAAUUAGAGUAAAAUGGUACCAGCAUUAGUAGUACUUCUAUCCAGGUAAGAGCACUAUUUAUAGAGCUCUAUUACAAAAAGAAAAGGUUCGCAACAUUUCAUUCUUCAUCCUUUGAAAUGGUUUCAUCCGUGAAGCCUAAUCCCACGUCAAGAUAAGUCUAUAUAACAUCCCAUAUCGUUGUUACCCAUCGUGCAAUUAAUUCUACACAACUUAAACUGGGUCUCUUUAUUCACUCCAUCACACUUGCUACGUACUUUUAAUUCCUUGACACUUUCAAUUUCCUAUAGACAGUACUUCAAAUAUAUAUAAUAUUUCCUACACGUCCAACAUCUUAAACUUAGAUUGUACUACCAAAAUCAUAUUCAACAAAAGGACAUCAUAAACACCAAUAAUACCAUUUCAACUUAAAUAACACAUACAAAUUUUCAAGCCUAUUUAUUCAGUCACAAUUGAUCAUUUUCUAGUGUGUAUUUCCUCUAAAGAAUAAAUCGUACCCUACGCUCUGUUAUCACUAAAUAUUAUGGAGCUCUCUUAUUUCACAAUCCUCUAUCCAACCUCAUUCAAAUUUCUAAAAUCACUAAUAUUACAAACAUCAUUCAACAUACAUCUAGAUCGUAUAAUCUAAACUUUGAUAACAUUAAAUAUCACGAGAAUCUCUUAUUUCCUUUAAUCCACUUUUUUUUCAUCUCAUUUCAAUUCUUAAAGUUUCUAAUACCUCAAACACCAUUUACAUACUUCCGGAUCAUAUAACCUAAGCUCUGAUACCACUAAAAAUGUCAUAGGAAUCUCUUAUUUCCUUUUAUCUGUUUUUAUUUUCAAAAUCAUUAAUAUCUAAACAUCAUUUCUCAUACUCCCAGACCAUAUAACCUAGGCUCUGAUACCACUAAAAAUGUCACGCCCCGAGGCCGCACGCGCUAGUCAUGUGACAUUUGCCAUAUCAUCAAGUCUCGUUCAAGAAUACAAGGCAACAUCGAACUAGACUAAAUUCAAAAAGUACUAAAUAGUAUAACUAAAGAAAGUGCGGUACAAAUUUCCAGUGAAGGAUAGUCUACGAAUAUUCAAUAAGUUCGUACAUUUAUUCUCUAGUAGAAAUAGCGGAAACAAAAGUAAAUAAAACUAACAACUAGAAGUAGCUAGCAUGCUAACUUCUGUUAACUUAAAAACUAAUAAAAGUCCUCCUCAGGGUCUUCUACGUAAAUCAACUCAUACUUUUCAGAAUCUGCAAAGAUGGUAAAAAGUGGGUUGAGCGAAAAGUCGUUUAGUAGGUAAUAUCUACCCCUAUGUUGAACCAUGCACUCAUAACUUUAUAGAUACGUACAUAUAUAAAUCAAAUUAUUUUCACAUUAUUCACAUCAAUAAUCAUGAAAAUAAUGUUAUGGGUAAAACAAUUAGUAGUAACGAGUGACAAAGCAAUUUCAAAGCAUCUUAUUGGUAAUCGCAGAUGAAAGUCAUAAAGUCAUAGAUAAUUUCAUAUCAAUUCAUAAGUCUCUUCAUAUCAGCUCACAAUAAGCACAUGUAAUGACCGACUAUUGAGUACUCAGACUAGAGAUUAAACCCAUUAGGUGGGCGACCAAUAGGUUUCAUGACUACCGAUUGGUCUCAUUACAUAUAUGGGUCAAUCGACCGGACUCUAUACCAAACUACCAUGAUCUUGUCAAUCGGCCGGACUCUAUACCAGGAUACCAUGACCAUUAGACACGACUAUAACCCCUACCGUCUAUUCCAUGACUGUUUUGAGCUUUUCUUGACAUAAAUUCAUUUCACACGUCAUAUGCAUAGUUCUUGAUUUCAUAAAAGGUACAGCUUAUUUGGUAUAUAAUAACAUAUCAAGAAGUUUCAAAUAAGUCACAUGGUCCAUUUUUAUAUAGUCAAAAUAGAACUUCCUUAAACAGUCAAGUAAAUCAUUCAAUCAAAACAAUUCAAAUUAACACGUAAAAAUAUAAUCGAUGACAAAAAUUUUACUUUAAACUUUUGAAAUUUCAGAAGGAUAAGUACCAUCUACCUUUAUCUGGCUGCUCGAGUAAAACUACCUUAGAUCUUUUAAACUUGUAUCGUACAUAUCAAAUGCAUAGGUAUUCUAAUUAGUUGAUAUUUCUUAUAAAUGCAUAAAUAUACUAACUCUGAGUAAAUUUAAAAUUCAUGUCUAAACCAUUAUAUGAACCCUAGUAGAGUUUUUUUCCUAUAUUGAGAAGUUUCUAUUUUUGAAAAGUUUCUUAAUUUGGAAGGUUUUCCUUUUUUGUAAAGUUUCCUAAUUUAGAAAUAAUUAUUUGUAAUCACAUUUAUUAUCUUGACCAUUGUACGUAUUUAACUAUACAUAUAUAUUUAUUAUUAUUUUAUUAUUCAUUGUUAUUGUUGUUGUCCUUGUCAUCACUAUUUUAUUUUAUUAUCAUUUAUAUAUAUAUUUGUUAAUUAGUUACUAUUAUCUUUUGCUUUACUUCCUUUUUUUUUGCGCAUGUGUAGGUGUUAUUAUUAUUUAUAUGUAUAUAUAUUGGCUUAUUAUUAUAAUUAUUUCCUUAGUUUAUUUCACUUGUAUUUAUAUUUUCAUUUUAAUCUUUAAUUUACUUCAUCUAUAUCUAUAUUGUCAUUAUUAUUGUUAUUAUUUUAAGCAUUUAAAAGAAAUCUAAAACCUAUCUUAUAUUGUAUAACUUAAUCUAAUAGUGAUAGAUUAAAAUGUCUUAGAUUUCUAUUUAAAUACCUUAGGCCUAAUUAAAUAAGCCCGAUUGGCGAAAUCUUUUAAAAUAUUCACUUAAUUUAGGUUGGGUCUGGAAAUUUAGUUUCUAUGUUAGUCCAAAAAUGUGGGUUGAUUAUACCUAAAAUUUAAUUAUUGGACAUUCACUUAACCCAUAUUAUAUAUAUAUAUAUAUUUUUUCAGAAUCUAUUACUAUUAAUAUGAUUUUUUUUUUGGUUUCGGCCAACCUUUCUAAUGGAGCCUCUGUCGCCAGCACUUGCUGGCAGAUUUUUUUUUUUUUCUUUUGGUUGGCCGAAAGGUUUCGACCAACCUUUCUAAUGGAGCCUUAAGUGCUAGCGGCUCUUUCUUUUUUUUUUCGGUUGGCCUUUUCCUACUUGGUCCAUGUCGCUAGCCACUUGCUGGCGACUUUCCUUUUUUUUUUUUUUUGCAUUGCUGAAGCUUUCAGCAAUGGCGUGCCGCUGCUCUCCCCCUCCCCUUCUUUUUUUUUAUAACUUUUCAACAUAUUUGGGUAAACCUUAUCCAUCCCAUAAUUAAAUUUAAUACCCUAAUCCUACUAAUCUAGAUAUGAAUCCUUCUAAAUCUCUCAUACAAGCAUAUAUAUAUAUAUAACAUAAUACAUAGCCGUAAAAUCUUUAGAAUAAUUAAUGCGACUAAUGGAACUUAAAAGAGAAGUUUUCACGUGAAUUUGGGACUUACAGGUCUAGGUGCCUAGUUGCCUGGUUGAUUGAUAGCGACGCCUUCUUCUCAUUCUCUAAUCUCUGACGGCUCUUGCUCUAAGAGGAGGUAGAGAAUGAAAGGUAGGAAUGAUGUUUUUUUUUCUUUGUUGUUUUGAGAAGUGUGCUAAACCCUAAUAACCACCCACUAGUACAUGGGUUAGAUAAGAGUUUUAACUGUUAUGAACUUUUACCCUAUCUUAUCUCAUUUCUAUCCUCCAAUUAACCCUUUAAUCUAUCCUACACUUACUUUUACUCUUACUCAUAGUAAAUUAUCAUUCAGUUAAUUGGGCAAGAAUAAAAAAAAAUGAGCCAAAACCGUGGGUUUUACACUUAAAUAGCAGAAUUUUUCUUAAAUGGGUAAAAUACCAAAAAACUCCUUAUGGUUUACUAAAUGUUUAAUUUAACUCCCUCUGAUUUGAAAACCUACACUAUAACUCCUUGUGGUUUGAACUAAUUUGAAAAUUGGACGGAAAGUGUCCAAUCUAACUGCUAUAUGUGAAAUGUCAAUAUUGCCCCUGUAUAAAUGAACUCCCUAUAGUUUGUCGAAUGUUCAAUUUAACUCCCUCUAGUUUGAAAAAUUACACUAUAACUACCUAUGAUUUCGACUAAAUUGAAAAUUGAAUAGAAAGCAUCGUACAUAUAGUGGGGCAAUAUUGACAUUUCACACACAACCGUUAGAUUGGAUGGUUUCUAUACAAUUUUCAAUUUAGUGAACACCAUAGAGCGUUAUAGCGUAGGUUUCCAAACUAGAGGGAGUUAAAUUGAACAUUUAUCAAACCACAGGAAGUUUUUUGGCAUUUUACCCUUCUUAAAUCCGUGUACUAACUGGCUACACAUGUGUGUGAAGUGCAUUUGAAUUGACAGAAAAUCUAUCAACUGCUCAAAGAGAAAGCCACUUCACGCACAUACGUAGCCAGUUGGUAGACGGAUUAAUGAAAGAGAAAGGCACAACCAAUGAGAACGAGACACAAAGUAACUGGUAUGCAUAACACUGAAAAGUUGUAUUACUUCUUCCAUCCCAUUAAAAGUGUAAUACCUUCUAUUUUGAAACAUUCCAAAAUGUUUGUCAAAUUAAAGUCACUUUUGAUUUUUUUUCAAUGUUGUCCUCAUCUUUAUCGAUAUUUUAUACUAAAUUCAAAUUUAAAACUUGAAUUUUUAAAGGUAAUUUUGGAAACGAAUCCUCUAACAACAGUAUCAAUCCACUAUUAUUAAAAAGUUGAAAUCCUAAAAUGCAACAAACAUUUCUAAGAGAGUAUAAUUCAAAGAAUUAUAUGUCAAACGUAGGCACAACAUGUUUUGUCCAUGUGAAACGUGACACAUAACGUCCAAGCUGAAAUGAAAACGUGUUAGUAGCGUAGAGCACUAAUAGGCAGUGUUUUGAUACCUAAGUUGAAUCAGCCGGUUCAACCGGUUAGAUCGCGAACCAAUCACGGCUCCAGUCCUAGCACCUUCCACUUACAUCAUUUUCACACUUUUUUAGGGACAUUUGAGGGGAUGUUGCAGCAACAUUUUGGGAGCUCCAAGACCGCUUUUUCUUGAUUCUCUGGCAACAAGAAACAACUAGAAAUAUAGGAGUAAAGACUUAGUUUUCUUGAACAUAUUUCUCUAGUUUUUUUAGUUAGCUUAGUCUUUCAUUUUUCUUGGAGAAUUCUUGGAGAACUCUUGAUGUGCUCAAUAUUUUGAAGACAAUGAAGAUAAUGGAAAUUGAAAACUCUUGUUUCUUCAAUUGAAUGAGUAAUUUUUUCACUCCUUCUUUCUUUAUUGUUGGAUUUAUGUUUGGUUGCUGAUAAGUUACAUUUUUGUUAUUAAAUUUGUGAUUAUUUCCCCCUUGAUUUUAGCCAAAUAUUGUAUUAAUGGAUAAAUUCUACUCAUAUUUGGUAAUUUGUGCUAAUUGUAGGAAUAUGAUGAGAAAAGGAGUAAAAAAUGGUUUAAUGAAAAUUUUUAGCCAGUUCUUUGUGGGCCCGUUCAAAUCCUACUAUCAAGUCUCGGAGGCUCGAGAUUUUACUACGAGCGGUAGUAUCCCAGUUCGAAUGGAAGUUCUUCGAAGCAUGUUUCCUUAUCUGAGAUAAUUGGUCUUUCUUUUUGUAUUAAGAAACAAAUAGGUUAUAUUUUGUCAAUUUAGGGAAUCUCCUUUUCUUUGAAGAAAAUUAGGAAGUAUUAGUAGUUUAGGAGAGUAAGAGACGUGAGAACAAGGAAGUCUUCUUGUUUGCGUUGGCUUUAAAAAGUCAUGGUUGUUUUUAGCGAAAGGGGUGAUUAGUCUUGGCAGUCAGCACCAAGGAAGAACGAAGAGUUUUUCUCUUCGUCUUUUCUUUUCUAUUGCUCCUUCUGUUGUCGAACCUCAGGCAACUUUCGUCAACGAAAUUGCCUGAGUUAUUUUCAAUGGAAAGCAACUAAUCCCUUUUUCUAGUCAAGGGUCAAUUUGAAGAUACGGUUUCAAAUAUCUAUGAGAUUGAAUUAUUUUUAUUUAUUUCUUUUAUUCAUUAGUAUUCGUACGUCUUCUGUUUCAACUUCUUAUGAUUAUUUUGUUAUUUGAAUGUCAAGGACCCGAUAUUUGAAUUAAUCUAAUAAUCUACUGCCAUAUUAAUCAAUUAAAUUCGUAAUUGUUUGAUUGAUUAAUACUAAUGGCAACUAGCGUGAUUGGUUUCAUGUUAGGAAAACGUAUAAUCUAACUUCAAUGAACCUUCGUAGCGUAUUUGUUAGUUAGGAUUGAGUUUUUCUAAUUUUUAAUGCAAUUGAAAAAUUAAACCUAUGGUCAUAUCUAGAGUUGUUUCUUGGUUAGGAAAAUAAUUAAUGGUCGUGCCUUGACUAUUGAUAAACUAAGGAAAAGUUGGCUAUCAAAACUUAUUGAUGGUUAUAACCAAUUUAUUAAUGAGUGAUUAAAUCAUUCUUGCAUCAAUGAUCAAUUGUAUGAAUCGUAUCUGAAAAGUUGUACCUUUGAUUAGAGUCAUAUUUAUUGUUGAUUUAAUUCCUAUUUAUUUCAUUAAUUGUUUCUUUAAUUGGUUAGUGAGUUAUUUCUAAAUUGUCUAAAAAUUCCCCUUACUUUAGGCUCUAAAAAGAGACAAAUUUUUCUCAAUCCCUGUGAAUUCGACCCUACUCAUCACUAUAUACAAAAAUUUGUAUUUUAUUUGAAUAGGUAUUUUUUAUUGCACAAUCUCGACACCUCUCAGUUGCAUUAAAGCCUUAAGCUUUUCUAUUCUAUCUACUAUUUUUUUAUUCAAAAGGCAAUUUUAUUAAGUAGAAAGCAUGCACUUGUUUUUCAGAUAUGUAUGCAAAAUGUGGAAGGUUGGACCUAGCACGUCUAGCUUUCUUCAGAAUUUCCAAAAAAGACACUGUUUCUUGGAACUCGAUGAUUACUAGCUAUUGCUAGCAAUUGAUCUUUUCUAUCAGAUGGGUUUAGAAGGAGCAAAAUAUGACUCUGUUAGGAUAUCUGCAGCUCUUUGCACAUGUGCAGACUUACAGGCACUGCAUUAUGGCAAAGAAAUACAUGGAUUCAUGAUUCGAGGAUCAUUUAGCUCAGAUCUUUAUGCUGAGAGCGCAUUGAUAGACAUGUAUGCUAAAUGCAGACACUUAGAAUUAGCAUGUACUGCUUUUGACUUGAUGAAGUGCAAGAACGAAGUUUCUUGGAAUAGCAUAAUUGCUACUUAUGGGAACCAUGGACACCUUGAGAAUGCUUUGGCUCAACUGAAUGAAAUGAGGGAAAAUGGAUUCCAGCCUGACCAUGUCACUUUCCUCGCCAUAAUAACUGCUUGUGGCCAUACUGGCCAAGUUGAAGAGGGCAAGCAACUUUUUGAGUGCAUGACCUAAGAAUUUGGAAUUACAGCUCGAAUAGAACACUAUGCAUGCUUAAUAGAUUUGUUUGGCCGAGCUGGUCGUCUUGAAGAAGUACAUCAAGUGAUUAGGAGCAUGCCAUUUACUACAGAUGCUGGCAUAUGGGGCAUGCUACUCGGAGCCUGCCAUGUCCAUGGCAACGUUGAACUAGCUGAAUUGGCUUCAAAUCAUCUUUUUGACUUGGACUCGCAAAAUUCUGGAUAUUAUAUGCUCCUAUCAGAUGUGAAAGCUGACACUGAAAAGUGGGAAGGGGUUAACAAAGUAAGAAAUAUGAUGAAGGAAAGAGGAGUGCAGAAAGCUCCUGGUUACAACGCAAUCUCGCAACUCAGGAAUACGUGGUUUAACAAUUCUUCAUUCGGGCAGAAGAGACAUUUGGAUGGGAGGUUGAAACCAAACUAUUGUAAAAUUUCUGGAAAAGGCAGCAAGGAGUACAGCAGCUGCCACAUGAAGAUGGAAAUUUUGUAUGGUAGUCGUUUAUCCCAAAUCAGCAGAUGUGAGACCAUUGAGGCACCUUGUGAGCGCAGCUGCUGUAGUGCUGAAGAUAUGCUAAAGAGUCCAUUGGAUGAGGGACACCAUGCUAGACGAUCAUCACCAUUUGAGAUGGAGAUUUGGGGAGGUCCGAAUGUCAUGUAUCUCACUAGGGGAUAAGGCACUCUCGACAGCUUGUAAGUUCCAAGACCCAUUUUCCAAACAAUUGCUGACUUGCACUCCCGGGCAAGGGACAUAUGCCUUCCCUAUAGCAAGAAAGCCCAUACCCAACAAGUUUUCAAACCAAAAGGAUGAACGACCUGUGCAUAUCAACCAUCACGAGUGAUCCUCCGCAAAAUCUCGAGCUCGUAGCAAUCAUCGCCAUGUCUUCGAUCCUUUGCUGGACGUUGGUACCUGGAUUAAAUGUGACUAUUGCCCGUAUUUCACAGACAUGAAACGGGUCCAUAACGUAGAGGUAGUUCGUAGCCACCACCAAAGCUUGCAACUAAAUGCCUGCAGCACAGCGUCUAGUGCCAUGAACCCUAAGCCAUCCUUCUCGACUGGUUUACAUAGUUCUUCCAUUCCCUCUAAUGUCUCCUCUCCUUCCCCUCGACCUAGCCAUAGAAGAAGGUAGCAAAAAUGCAUUCCAUUUUUCGUAAAGUCCUUGUUGGGGGCUCCAAAACAGCCAUGAUAUGUUGGGGAAUUGACAUCAGGACGUGCUUGAUAAGCAAUGCGCGACCCCCAGCUGAUAAUGCCUUGGUUUUCCAGCCAACUAGCUUCAUUCUCAUUUUUUCAAUUAUAUGCUGAAAAUUCACUCGACUUGGUCUGCCUUUUGCUAGCGUGCAGCCUAGCUAUUGAAAAGGUAACUGGCGAACUUUAACAUCUAGCCAUUGGGAUAUCUGUCAUGAUCUAGCCGUCGAGCAUCGUAAGAAGAUACUCCCUCCCUUUUUUUAUAACUGACGUUUAAGAAAUUUGCUCUAGUGUACUUUUAUCUAUCAUUUUAUUAUCCCCAUACAGCAUUAAUUACUUUUUCACAAUUUUACCCUUUUAUCUCUCUGGUAUUAAUACACUCUCAUGCAUUGCUUUUGGCCUAGUAAAACAGCACCAUUUAGUACUAUAGUGAGAGAAAACAUGGGUGAAUUGGACAAUUAAUGAGGAUACAAAAGGAAAGUAGUGUACAGAUUUAAGCAUUGAAAAACUUUUCUUAAUUAGUGUGCAAAACCUUAAACGUCAGUUAUAAAAAAAGGGAGAGAGUAAUAAAGAAGCACUUGUCUUUAUUGAUUUGCUGCCCCAAGCCCAGUUGAUAAGUGUCAAGAAACUCUAGUAGUGAUUUGAUGUCUGUUUAGUGCCCCUUCAUAAAGAGCAAGACAUCGUCGGCAAAGCUCAAAUGUGCAAUUGGGAUACGUUCCCUCAGGAGGCCGAAUGGAGAGAGUUUACCCGUCGAGAGUAGGGCAUUCAAGCCUCGGUUGAAUGCUUCAACAACUAGUAGGAAUAAGUAUGGGGAGAGUGGAUCUCCUUGUUUGAUUCCCCACUCACCUUGGAAGAAGCCGAAGGGCUUGCCAUUGAUAAGUACUGAAAACCAUGCUCCUUGAAGAUUGUUCAUGACCAAGGAAAUAAACCAGCCACUAAAUCCAAAUUUACAUAGCAACUUGGAUAGAAAUUGCCAGGAUACGAAGUCAAAGGCCUUCAUCAUAUCCACCUUGGGAAUCAUGUUGUGGCCUCGAGUUUUUGUGUCUAUCGAUUUCAACAAUUCUUGGGCCAGAAGGAUAUUGUCUGAUAUUUCCCUCCCGUCGACAAAAGCAGAUUGCUCCAAUGAUAGUAGAGUAGGCAUCAAUGGUUUCAUUCGCAUACAAAGAAUCUUCGUGAAUACCUUUUUUAGGAAGGUGCAAAGACUUAUUGGUCUAAACUCGGCAAAUGUCUGCGGCUGUUCUUUUUUUGGUAGCAGUAUGAUUAAGGUGCUGGCAAUACUUUUUGGUGUUGGAACCCCACAAAAAAACCCUCGACUGCUUGCAACAGGUCUUGAGCUAUUAUGUCCCAACAAGUCGUGUAAAAGAACCCCGUAAAACCAUCCACCCAUGCUGCACUUUGGCCAUCCAAUGCAAAAACAGCCUUUUUGACUUCCUCUAAUGUAACUUCGCUCGUUAAAUCCUCGUUUUGUUGGUGUGUAACCGGCCUUGGAAUCGAAGCCAACAAUUCUUCAAUUGCUGGCUCACAAUUAGGAGUGUUUUGGCAGGACAACAAGUUUCUGUAGAAAGUUGCUGCACUCUGACCUAUAGCCUCCUCGUCUUCUAACAUGUUGUCAUCUGCCUCCCUUACUUGACGAAUUGAGAGGCAUGCUCGCUUGGAUAUUAGAGUGGAAUGGAAAAUUUUUGUGUUGGAAUCUCCCUCCUUUAGCUACCGUAUUCAUGUUUUUUGUUUCCAGAACAUUUCCUCAUCAGCGUCUUAAGUAGCCUUGCUUGUGUGCGGCUCUAUUGGGUCCUCGCCUCUUCUGUCCCUUCCUCCUCCAGCAAGAUCUCGCACGCUCUAACUUCUUCUGCUGCUGCUGCUACAUCCUUGAAAACAUCUCCAAACAUGUCUUUGUUCCACUGCUGAAGGUCAUGUUUGAGGCGCUUGAGCUUGAAGAAGAAAGCGAACAUGCCAUAGCCUUGAACAGCUUGCUCCCAACUCUGGUGAACCGUGUCAAAGAAUGUUGGGUGCUGGACCCACAUAUGCUAGAAUUUGAAUAACUGUGGAGCAGGGGCGCUGUGUUGCUUAACUUUCAUCAAAAGGGGCAAAUGAUCCGAUCCUGUUCUAUUCAAAAGUUGUAGCGAGUUAUCUUGAAAACACUAUAGCCAUUCUAAGUUUACUAGUAGUCCAUACCAUUCUAAGUUUACUACCAUCUGAUUUACAGUGAACUUGGUCAACACAAAGUUUAUUCUAUCAAGGUUACAAAGAAUAAAAUUGCAUCCAUUUUUCAGCUAAGGUAGGAACCCUGAAUAAGCUAGCUAGCUAUCUAGUUUGUUUCAGAUAACAAGCAAUGAGCAUCUGAUCAUCAAAGAGACACAGAAAUGAUAACCUCAACAAUCAAGUCGUUUAUUGCCAUCUCAAGUAAGUCUAUGGUAUUCAGGUCGUCGAAUUCAUCUCCUUUACAAAUGCAAGUAAGGAGCAUUCGACCACGAGAAAGUAACUUUUCCGAACGAAUCCUUAGAAAUGUGGGCGAGCGGACGACUUGCUUUGGAAGAGUAAAUGCUCCCUUUGUUCGCACUGAUCCCCAAUUCAAUCACCAAACCGUUGGGAACCUGCAGUCUAAAGCUAGUAACUUAUAUAGUUGGAUCAUUUUGUUAGUGUUGCAUAUGGGAAUAUAAAUCAUGAGCCACGAAUUAAAUUGUUAAUCUCAUUUCUUAACUACAAUAGUUUAUCUCAUUUAAUUGUUAAUCAUGCUUCAUUUAAAUGCAUUUAAUUAGUAAAUUUUAGGAAUUUUAUGUUUAUUCAUAUUUCUUUAUAAUAAUAAAGUGAAUUUACUAGAUGUUUGUAUUUUCUUUUAAAUUGUUAAUUAAAUUGGUACCUUGACUAUUUUGUUGGUUCUGGAGUAUAAAUAAGGCAAAUUCUACCUCAUUUAACCACUACUUCAAGGGAGAUACUUUUUAUUAUUAUUUUAAGUUCUUUUAUGUGCUCCUAUGUGUUUUUUAUAUGUGUGAUUGCGUGUUUUAACUGUCUUUUCUUUUAUUUUAUCUUAUUCAUUUUUAGCUUUCAUUUAUUUUAUUUAUUUAAAUUUUGAUGAUUAUUUGGAAGGUAUUUAAAAACCAAAUUGUAAUAGAUAGGUGUCCAAAAAAUGUAUUCAGUUAGGCCAUGUAAUUAGUUAGAUAGAUUUUAUUUUCACCGAAAUUGUAAUUAGUUAGAUAAAUGUAAUAGAUAGGUUUAUUAUUUUCAAAAUUCCCCUUCUACAUUGUAAUUAGGGUCCCCAAUAUAAUAGUUAGUUUUUAUUUGCUUCCAUGCUUGUGCGCUUAUGUAUUUUAUUCGUUUUUUCUAGGAUUUUGUAUCUAAAUAUUAUGCAUAUGUGCUAUGUGCUCUACAUACUUUAUAUGUUUUAUGGGUUUUAAUUAUGUUUUAUAUGUUUUAUUUAUUUAUAAUAAAUGCAUGACGUCGCCGCACUAGUCCAAUACUAGUUGUGACAUUUCUCCCCGAUUUCUCACUAGUCCAAUGCUAGUGAGAACUUGUAAAAAUGGGUUAGUCCAAUACUAGACCUUUUAGAUAAUUUUCGCGCUAAAUUCAUACAUUGUGUGACACUUAUUGCAUCUCAUGUAUUUUUUUCCUAUUUUUAGGUUAUUUUCAAUUGGAUGACAUUUCCCCUACUAUCAUUCCUUUACCCUCUAUAUAUUUGGACCAUAUCAUUUAGAAUUGCAUUUCAUUCUAGGAAAUGAGAAAUAGACUAGUCCACUUGGUUGACAAGGUUAAGAGAGUCACCCUUCGAAUAUGAGAAAUGGGUGAGUAUGACUUUUUAAAUUUAGCACGCUAUUACCCCUCUAUAAGAAGAAAAAUUGAAUCACGAAUUUUAGUCUCUCAUACCCAUUAUAUUGCAUUCCCCUUUUCUAGGUCAUGUACAUUUAUCUAUGUUAUAAUUUCCUUUUUGAGUCUCAUCUUUUGCACUUUUCAUGAUCUCUUCAAAUAAUCAUUUCUGGACAUCACAAUUAAUGUGAUUAGUACCAAUUAAAUUUUGAAGAGACAUUUUGACCCUCCCAAUAUCCUUUAGAUCUAGAUUUGCAUCCAUAUAUAAACAUCCAAAAUGUGAUAAGUUUUAUAUAUUAAAUUAGAAAAAAUUUCGACUAAAUCUCGCAACUACUCUUAGUUAGGUUGAAAGAGAGGCUUAAAUUGAAUAUUUGCCUUCCCUUUCUUCAAACAUGAUUCCCGAAUUCUUUUAUUUUAUUUUCAAAGAUUUGGAGUCCUCUAAAAGGGUUUUAUUUAUUUUUAUUUAAAAUAUAUUUUUGGUGAGUUGAUACACCUAAACUCAAUACUAAGUGCGCGACUCUACUCUUUUCUAAAAAAUCCUUUUUAGACUAUUAUUUUGGACUCAAACCGUCGCAUAUUUUAAGUUCCAUUUUAACCUUUUUUUUAUUUAUUUUUUAAAAUCAAAAACUCUUUUUUUUAACACUAUUUUUUCUUUUAUUUUCAAGAAUAAGGUGCGACAAACCCUAAACUAAACGACAUUCCAUGACCUCAAAAAGUAAUCCACAGUGGAUUUAAGGAUGGGACGUUGAGAUUCACAUGCUUAUUAUGCUUGUUGGCUGGCAUCAGUUGCGUCUAUAGUUGGAGCACCCAUUAUUGUGUUUGUCUUUGUCCCCGAUCAAACUAGGCCCCAGCUUAGCAUCUUCCGCAGGGCGUCACCUGCUGAUGUACCCUUCUGUCUGCAGUCUGAGAUUCACAUGCUUAUUAUGCUUGUUGGCUGGCAUCAGUUGCGUCUAUAGUUGGAGCACCCAUUAUUGUGUUUGUCUUUGUCCCCGAUCAAACUAGGCCCCAGCUUAGCAUCUUCCGCAGGGCGUCACCUGCUGAUGUACCCUUCUGUCUGCAGUCUGGCUCUUACCAUUAUUUAUGACACUGACUUUCCCAUACCAUUUGCAUUUUCUGUGGUGAGAAUUUUUCUACGAGAAUUAUCUCAUUGUUUUUACUUUUCCUUUUUUUUUUCUCUCUUUGUUUUUUUGGAGAAUAAUAAUGUAUUGGCAUGCUUUUUUAAAAUCUGAACCAUGAAAAUAUUCACAAGUCAUUCAUUUAUCGUGUUCUGCUUCUUUUUUAUAUGUUGGAACUUAGAGAUGGAAUAACUGAGAAUUGAGCUUGCGAGAUACUAACAAAAGUUUGAAUGUCUUUCAAGAUAAAGUGACACUUCCUUCAAAAAGAUAAAGUGACACUUAGCGAAUGAAUAAAUGACAAUUGAGUAUGCCAUUUACUAAGGAAAAGCCUAAUGUAUUUGAAGACAAAGUGACCACUUUAUGAAAGUUAUUCACGAAUGAUAAAAUCAGAAGUUGAGAUACGGGGAUAGGUUACGACUACGGUAGAAAGUUCACUUUUCUUCCCAUAGCAGGCAGAAGCAAUGCAAGGAGGCCAACUGUGCUUUGUGGGACGCACGAAGAAGGAUAUCCGGACAACACUGAGAAAGCCGGUUGUGCGUGAAUGAAAAAAUAUAAUACAUUUUAAAAUCACAAUAAAAGUUCUCUUAAAAAUUUAUUUAUCAUCUAAUGCCCAAUACUUAUAUUUGUUAAAUUAAAACAGUUAAUUAAAUAUUUUAUUAUAACAUAAACAACUAUAUGUCAUUGAGUUGAUUGAAUAAUAUUUUCUUUUCUUUUUUUGGCAUUUCAACUAGUUGUCAAUUAAAUUUCAAUUGAAAUAAAGAUUUUAUAAUUAUUUAAAUUAUUCAAUAAAAUUAUCAAUUUAAGAUGAACAUAAAUAUAUGGGGAUAAGAUCAUAAGGCUAGAAAAGUUGAGAUAUGGGGACAAGACUACUAGUAUUUGAGGUACCCUUGCGUAUUUGUAGAAGCCCGGUGGGUAAAAUAUAUAUAUAUAUAUGUAUGUAUAUGUGUGUGUUUGUUUAAUGCUUAUUUCUAUAUAUGUGUAUAUAUAAUGCUUAUUUAUGUCCACUUGUUAAGUUUUUAUAUGUUGUUCUUUUUAGUUUAUGUCAGCAUAAUGGUUAUUAUUUUUAGUUAAAUUUAUUAACCAAACAAAAUGUACCACAUUUCAACAUGUUGCACACGUUGAAAAAAAGACUUCCAACAACAUCUUGAAUUUCAAUUUUUUAAUAUGGUAAAAUUAUUUUGGUACUUAAAUUUUCAAGUCCAUAUCAUCUCAACUCCACCGACGUUGGAUUCCUCAACUUAAAGCUUAAAAACUGAAUGCUUUUCUUUCAAUUUCUAUGUCUCAUGGUUUUCUCGUGGUUUCAAUGAAAAAUAAAUAAAUAACAAAGCUAUAUAUGUUUCUAAAUUGAUAUCACAAGAGAGAAGAAAAAAAAGGUACUGAAAGGGUGAAUUUAUCAAUUUAUUAAUUUGAUUUUGAUUUUUUACUAUUGACCAUUCAUCUUAACAGAAGAGCUAAUGGUGACACUUUACCCAAAUCAUGAGAGCUUAUAUAUAGUUUUUUGAAGUAGGGAGAGUUAUGUGAUAAAUCACCAAAUUACAAGGGGGUAAAAGGUAAUUUACACAAAAAAUCAUCAUUCCGAGACUUCCCAUACAGUCAUACACGUGAUAUCGGACAACUAUUUAGUGCAGCUGUAUUUUGUGCAGUUGUAUCUGGUUGUUGUGCGUGUUCAAAUAUACAUAUGAAAAUAUUGUACUAAAUAUAUGUCAAAUAUCUUAUUCUUAUACACCACUUUUAUUACGAAUACAAAACAAUAAUAUAAUAUUAUUAUACACUAAAUAAUAUAAAAAGUACAAUACCCGAAAGACCCCCAACGGCACUAAAUCCUUUCCCCAACACAAAAACCAACUAAAAACAAACUUUUACAUGUCUGGCUUCUCUGGCUUUUUGGCGAGAGAAAUGAUAAGAUUAUUAUAGUAGGCUUUGCCCAAGGGGAGAACCUUUGCUGCAUGCUUCGCAAACCUGUGGAAUAUGUCAGGUAUAAUAGCUUCUCCAAAAUGACUUGCGAGGAUGGGUUCGUAAACUGCUCUAACGGAAGAUGCAACAUACUCUGCUUUAAUAUGUUCAUCGCUGUAUACUUGGACAUGGGAUCUUACUGGGUAAUUAUCAUCAAUAGAGAAGCCAGCAUCAUAAAGGACCUUAAAAGUCUCCAGGUAUAAAAUUUCAAAAGAACCUUCCUCCUCAACUAUGCACUUUACUUCUUCUGCUGAAGGUAUAUAGACUGGAAGAUUGAAACUAUCCAAUUUUUCUUCCUCCAGAUGUCCCUGCAGAUAUGCCAAUCAUCAAUUCAAUUCAAAUUAUUCGAAGCACGAGACUUGGAAAUUAACCAAUUUGCUCAAACCUCAACUCUAGGAAAAAAAAGGGUACAGUUUUUUUCCUUAAUUUCAAUAUGAAAAUAUUAUUACUACUUGUGCUUUUAGUUCAUAUUAUUAUUUUUUCCAAUACCUUUUUAACCAAAAAGGGGGGAAAAAAGAUAGCCGACAAAUUAAAUCCCCCUAUAUUUCUAACUUGAAAGAAUUAUCUUAACUGUAUUGGAGUUGUGUGACCUAACUUCGAAUUAAAGGUUACUACCAUCUGAUUUACACGGUGAACUUGGUCUACACAAAGUUUAUUGUAUCAAGGUUACAAAAAAUAAAAUUGCAUCCAUUUUGCAGCUAAGGUAGGAACCCUAAUAAGCUAGCUAGCUAUCUAGUUUAUUUCAGAUAACAAGCAAUGAGCAUCUGAUCAUCAAAGAGACAGAGAAAUGAUAACCUCAACAACCAAGUCGUUUAUUGCCAUCUCAAGUAAGUCUAUGGCAUUCAGGGCGUCGAAUUCAACUCCUUUACAAAUGCAAGUAAGGAGCAUUCGGCCAUGUGAAAACAACUCUUCCGAAUGAAUCCUUAGAAAUGUGGUAAAAUCUUUCGUAAAUUGAUCCAAAUAUGCCUUCUGGACGGGCAGACGACUUGCUUUGGAAGAGUAAAUGCUCCCUUUGUUCGUACUGAUCCCCAAUUCAGUCACCAAACCGCUAGGAACCUGCACGUCCAGAGCUGGUAACUUAUAUAGUUGGAUCAUUUUGUUAGUGUUGCAUGUGGGAAUAUAAAUCAUGAGCCACGACUUGAAUAAAAUAUGUUAUUAGUUUCUUCAGAAAUCUCUUUCUUGGAUUCCUGUGGAUAUCUUGAGAAUUAUUAAAGAAAUUUCCAUGCAUAGUUACUAAUGUGUUGAAUGAAAAUCAUGAACUAUUUUUGCUACAAGAAAAAGUAAAAAGAUAAAAGGGAUUAACUCAAAGACCUG